GACGAACGCUGGCGGCGUGCUUAACACAUGCAAGUCGAACGAAGAGCGAUGGAAGCUUGCUUCUAUCAAUCUUAGUGGCGAACGGGUGAGUAACGCGUAAUCAACCUGCCCUUCAGAGGGGGACAACAGUUGGAAACGACUGCUAAUACCGCAUACGAUCUAAUCUCGGCAUCGAGGAUAGAUGAAAGGUGGCCUCUACAUGUAAGCUAUCACUGAAGGAGGGGAUUGCGUCUGAUUAGCUAGUUGGAGGGGUAACGGCCCACCAAGGCGAUGAUCAGUAGCCGGUCUGAGAGGAUGAACGGCCACAUUGGGACUGAGACACGGCCCAGACUCCUACGGGAGGCAGCAGUGGGGAAUCUUCCGCAAUGGACGAAAGUCUGACGGAGCAACGCCGCGGGAGUGAGGACGGCCUUCGGGUUGUAAAGCUCUGUUAAUCGGGACGAAAGGCCUUCUUGCGAAUAGUGAGAAGGAUUGACGGUACCGGAAGAGAAAGCCACGGCUAACUACGUG
This 510-nucleotide ribosomal RNA is filed under the name uncultured bacterium. RNAcentral describes it as "partial 16S ribosomal RNA". It matches the Rfam family "Bacterial small subunit ribosomal RNA", at positions 28 to 507 of the family's 1533-position model. The record is from RNAcentral.